UUCUAAGGGCGGUGAAGUCAGACCGGAAGGACUGGUGGAGCGCUUAGAAGUGAGAAUGCCGGUAUGAGUAGCGAAAGAAGGGUGAGAAUCCCUUCCACCGAAUAUCUAAGGUUUCCUGAGGAAGGCUCGUCCGCUCAGGGUUAGUCGGGACCUAAGCCGAGGCCGAUAGGCGUAGGCGAUGGACAACAGGUAGAGAUUCCUGUACCAGUGCUAAUUGUUUAACCGAUGGGGUGACACAGAAGGAUAGGGAAUCGCACGAAUGGAAAUGUGCGUCCAAGCAGUGAGUGUGAGAAGUAGGCAAAUCCGCUUCUCGCGAAGCAUGAGCUGUGAUGGGGAAGGAAAUUAAGUACGGAAGUUCCUGAUUUCACGCUGUCAAGAAAAGCCUCUAGGAAGAGUAGUACUGCCCGUACCGCAAACCGACACAGGUAGAUGAGGAGAGAAUCCUAAGGUGAGCGAGAGAACUCUCGUUAAGGAACUCGGCAAAAUGACCCCGUAACUUCGGGAGAAGGGGUGCUCUAUUAGGGUGCAAGCCCGAGAGAGCCGCAGUGAAUAGGCCCAGGCGACUGUUUAGCAAAAACACAGGUCUCUGCAAAACCGUAAGGUGACGUAUAGGGGCUGACGCCUGCCCGGUGCUGGAAGGUUAAGAGGAGUGCUUAGCUUCGGCGAAGGUACGAAUUGAAGCCCCAGUAAACGGCGGCCGUAACUAUAACGGUCCUAAGGUAGCGAAAUUCCUUGUCGGGUAAGUUCCGACCCGCACGAAAGGCGCAACGAUCUGGGCACUGUCUCAACGAGAGACUCGGUGAAAUUAUAGUACCUGUGAAGAUGCAGGUUACCCGCGACAGGACGGAAAGACCCCGUGGAGCUUUACUGCAACCUGAUAUGGAAUGUUUGUACCGCUUGUACAGGAUAGGUAGGAGCCGAAGAGACGUGUGCGCUAGCAUACGAGGAGGCAAUGGUGGGAUACUACCCUGGCUGUAUGACCAUUCUAACCCGCCACGCUUAGCGCGUGGGGAGACAGUGUCAGGUGGGCAGUUUGACUGGGGCGGUCGCCUCCUAAAGAGUAACGGAGGCGCCCAAAGGUUCCCUCAGAAUGGAUGGAAAUCAUU
RNAcentral lists this ribosomal RNA (1106 nucleotides) under Listeria monocytogenes. RNAcentral describes it as "partial 23S ribosomal RNA". It matches the Rfam family "Bacterial large subunit ribosomal RNA", at positions 1239 to 2342 of the family's 2925-position model. The record is from RNAcentral. Lineage: Bacteria; Bacillati; Bacillota; Bacilli; Caryophanales; Listeriaceae.